Molecule: ribosomal RNA, 253 nt
Filed under: uncultured bacterium
Lineage: Bacteria
Description: partial 16S ribosomal RNA
Rfam family: Bacterial small subunit ribosomal RNA
Source: RNAcentral
UACGUAGGGUGCGAGCGUUAAUCGGAAUUACUGGGCGUAAAGCGUGCGUAGGUGGUGAGUUAAGUCUGUCGUGAAAGCCCCGGGCUCAACCUGGGAAUGGCGAUGGAUACUGGCUCGCUAGAGUGCGGUAGAGGGUGGUGGAAUUCCCGGUGUAGCAGUGAAAUGCGUAGAGAUCGGGAGGAACAUCAGUUGCGAAGGCGGCCACCUGGACCAGCACUGACACUGAGGCACGAAAGCGUGGGGAGCAAACAGG